Cercocebus atys (sooty mangabey) is the source of this 853-nucleotide long non-coding RNA. RefSeq lists it as uncharacterized. Lineage: Eukaryota; Metazoa; Chordata; Mammalia; Primates; Cercopithecidae. The transcript is spliced from 5 exons. The record is from RefSeq and is a predicted model, not a curated record.
UCGAUUUGCUGAGAGGGGAAGCGUGGAAUGGUGCGGUCCUCUCCAGGGAGAUUCCACUGUGGGAGAGAGGGACAAAAUCUGGGGGCUCAACAAUCAUUGUGAACUGUAAUUAUGCCAAUAACAACGGGUCUGCUUACAGAACAAGGCACAGCAAGGACACAAGACACAAGCAGAAAAUGUGCUUGAUGUUACCCACUGCAGUCCUUCCACUCUGGGAGAUCCUGAAGACUCAGAAGAGGGACAGGCAAUGGAUUCUGUCUAAACCCCAAGGCCAGGACACUGCCUCAGCUGCGAAGCCGGGAUGCGAUGCUCCAGGGUAUAACCACUGCCCAGAAGCAUAGCUGGUACAAGCUGCAGCCUCAAUCCAGGCAAGGAGCCAGCUCCAAUCAGGAACCAUCAUACUGUUCUCCACAGUGUCUGAUGACCUACAGUUUUGAGCUCAGACUUUCUAAAAUAGCAGGAAAUAAAUGAAAAGAAAACAAAUAGAAGUGGAAGUAAUUUGUCCUUCAUUAAGCCAAACAUACCCACCCUGAUUGAAGCUUGAAAACAAUAUCACCUCUUUCGCUGAUAUUAUUUCUGAAUAAACUGACAGCAGUACAACAUUCUGCCUACAUUCAAGUCCAGGCGCUGUGCUGGGGACACUAUGAGGCAUGCAGAAAUAAAGAAGACAAUCCCUGCCCCUCGGGGAUGGUCAUUAUCAGGUGUGAGGACAGACACUCCUAAAUAACCAAGUGCCCACCGUAACAGAGAGGAGAGCCCAGGAAGGCAGGAAAUUCACUUCGACAGUGAGGCUGGGCACAGCUUUAUGGAAGAGAUAUGCUAACAAUAAGAGGCCAGGCACUGUGGUUCAUGC